Molecule: ribosomal RNA, 264 nt
Filed under: uncultured archaeon
Lineage: Archaea
Description: partial 16S ribosomal RNA
Rfam family: Archaeal small subunit ribosomal RNA
Source: RNAcentral
AGUCACUGACAUUAGACUACCCGGUAGUCCAGGGUGUAAGCGCUGCAGACUUGGUGUUGGAAUCCUUCGAGGGUAUUCGGUGCCGGAGAGAAGUUGUUAAGUCUGCUACGUUGGGAGUACGUCCGCAAGGAUGAAACUUAAAGGAAUUGGCGGGGGAGCACCACAACGGGUGGAGCCUGCGGUUUAAUUGGAUUCAACACCGUAAAACUCACCAGGGAAGACUGUUACAUGAAGGCCGAGAUGAAGACUCUGCUAGAUUUUCAG